This 466-nucleotide ribosomal RNA is filed under the name Aporrectodea rosea. Its description in RNAcentral is "partial large subunit ribosomal RNA". It matches the Rfam family "Bacterial large subunit ribosomal RNA", at positions 1901 to 2607 of the family's 2925-position model. Lineage: Eukaryota; Metazoa; Annelida; Clitellata; Crassiclitellata; Lumbricidae. The record is from RNAcentral.
GNAUUCCUGCCAGUGACUCACGUUCAACGGCCGCGGUAUCCUAACCGUGCAAAGGUAGCAUAAUCACUUGCCCAUUAAUUGUGGGCUAGAAUGAAAGGACCAACGAAAUAAAAACUGUCUCUAUAAGUCCGAUAAAAAUUAAUCUCUAACUGAAGAUUGUUAGAUAUCAUUGAAGGACAAGAAGACCCUAUAGAGCUUCAUUUUAAUAAAAAUCAAUAUUUUAAUAAAAUUCGGUUGGGGCGACCGGGGAACAUAAAUCAUCCCCUAUAAAAAGAUUAAUCAAUCUUCUUUAUGACCCUUAAUUAAGAUCACCAGAAUAAGCUACCUUAGGGAUAACAGGCUAAUCUCACUAAAGAGUCCUUAUCAAUAGUGAGGGUUGGCACCUCGAUGUUGGCUUAGGGAAUCUGUAUGGCGCAAAAGUCAUAUAAAGAUGGUUUGUUCAACCAAUAAUACCCUACGUGAUCUG